UUAAAUUGAAGAGUUUGAUCAUGGCUCAGAUUGAACGCUGGCGGCAGGCCUCACACAUGCAAGUCGAACGGUAACAGGAAGAAGCUUGCUUCUUUGCUG
This 99-nucleotide ribosomal RNA is filed under the name Escherichia coli O165:H25 str. 2010C-4874. RNAcentral's name for it is "partial 16S ribosomal RNA". It matches the Rfam family "Bacterial small subunit ribosomal RNA", at positions 1 to 93 of the family's 1533-position model. The record is from RNAcentral. Lineage: Bacteria; Pseudomonadati; Pseudomonadota; Gammaproteobacteria; Enterobacterales; Enterobacteriaceae.